This is a long non-coding RNA of Seriola dumerili (greater amberjack), 138 nucleotides long. RefSeq lists it as uncharacterized. The record is from RefSeq and is a predicted model, not a curated record. The transcript is spliced from 3 exons. NCBI's taxonomy places the organism in Eukaryota, Metazoa, Chordata, Actinopteri, Carangiformes, Carangidae.
CAUUGUAUUUAAAGGGCGACGUCCAUCAGCUGAUCAGAUAGUGGACCAGGAGAGCUCAGAGGUUCCCAGCGCUCAGUCUGCCCAGCAGCAUCAAACACAGCUGGACUCCAUAUUUAUGCUGCUGGAGGAGAACAUGGG